Molecule: ribosomal RNA, 253 nt
Filed under: uncultured bacterium
Lineage: Bacteria
Description: partial 16S ribosomal RNA
Rfam family: Bacterial small subunit ribosomal RNA
Source: RNAcentral
UACGAACUGUGCGAACGUUAUUCGGAAUCACUGGGCUUACAGGGUGCGUAGGCGGCUUGUUAAGUAGGGUGUGAAAGCCCCCGGCUCAACCGGGGAAUUGCGCCCUAAACUGGCGAGCUAGAGUGAGAUAGGGGUGUGUGGAACUUCCGGUGGAGCGGUGAAAUGUGUUGAUAUCGGAAGGAACGCCGGUGGCGAAAGCGACACACUGGAUCUUGUCUGACGCUGAGGCACGAAAGCCAGGGGAGCGAACGGG